UCGGGUUCUGAAAAAUUCGGGGCGGGUCCUUUCACAUCGGAAUGAUGUCGGGAAUUUUCUCAGGAUUUGCCUCGGGUUUUAGGAAAUUCGGGGCGAGUUCUUACAAUACAUGUUAAAAAUAAUUUUUAAAAAAACUCAUCCCUUUUCUCCAACCCCAGCCAACCCUCUCUCCCUCCUGACUCUCCCACUUCUCAGUCACCACUCUAUCGUCGUAGCCCAAAGAACCACCCAGCCACCUCCCAAAACCCACCAAGCCCGCCACCACCCAAAAGAAUCUAGUGCCAAUUCAGAUGAUGAAGACGAAUUGGAGGGGAAAUUUGCAGACCCAUGUCCACCACCUCCUCCU
RNAcentral lists this long non-coding RNA (346 nucleotides) under Prunus persica (peach). Its description in RNAcentral is "long non-coding RNA (PPER_LNC007825)". The record is from RNAcentral. Lineage: Eukaryota; Viridiplantae; Streptophyta; Magnoliopsida; Rosales; Rosaceae.